CAAUUCGGACCAGGCGAUAUGGACGUCGCCGGCAACGCCAUUGCCGCUCAUGCGCCGGACAUGGUCGACAGCCGAGGCGCCGCCGACAAGCAUCUUUUUCGGGUCGCAGCCCCGCAGGGCGCAGGUGCCUCCGAAAGGCCGGUGGUCGAUGACGGCCACGCUCCAGCCCGCUGCGCGCACGCGCAUCGCGGCGGCCAUGGCUGCCGUGCCGGUUCCUAUGACUACAAGGUCGAA
Molecule: unclassified non-coding RNA, 234 nt
Filed under: Hevea brasiliensis (rubber tree)
Lineage: Eukaryota; Viridiplantae; Streptophyta; Magnoliopsida; Malpighiales; Euphorbiaceae
Source: RNAcentral